RNAcentral lists this ribosomal RNA (330 nucleotides) under Triticum aestivum (bread wheat). RNAcentral describes it as "partial small subunit ribosomal RNA". The record is from RNAcentral. Lineage: Eukaryota; Viridiplantae; Streptophyta; Magnoliopsida; Poales; Poaceae.
AUGUCCCAUUAUCCUUUCGAUCGUAGUUUUCACCCUGGGAUGAGUAGCACUCUGCUGAGGCUAGCUACCAAUUUCAAGAUGGACAAUAGGAUAGUUCAAUGGGACAAUCUCACCGGUAGUGACACCAUAAUGAAUGAGUUGGCUCACCAAUUACGUAGGUCUGGGUGGCCUGAAAGGACCUAUGAGGAGGUACGUAAAGAACUUCUUAGGUUGGAUGCAAGGUGGAAGAAGGUUGUGGAGCCGAAGAGUGAAACUUUUAGAAGGACUGCAGAAAACCAUCCAUUUUUAUGCAUCCUCGAAGGGCAAGAGUUCUUCAUCGUCCAAGGGUAA